UCAGAUUGAACGCUGGCGGCAUGCCUUACACAUGCAAGUCGAACGGUAACAGGUCUCGGAUGCUGACGAGUGGCGAACGGGUGAGUAAUACGUCGGAACGUGCCUAGGUAGUGGGGGGAUAACUACUCGAAAGAGUAGCUAAUACCGCAUGAGAUCUACGGAUGAAAGCAGGGGAUCGCAAGACCUUGUGCUACUAGAGCGGCUGAUGGCAGAUUAGGUAGUUGGUGGGAUAAAAGCUUACCAAGCCGACGAUCUGUAGCUGGUCUGAGAGGACGAUCAGCCACACUGGAACUGAGACACGGUCCAGACUCCUACGGGAGGCAGCAGUGGGGAAUUUUGGACAAUGGGCGAAAGCCUGAUCCAGCAAUGCCGCGUGCAAGGAUGAAGGCCUUCGGGUUGUAAACUGCUUUUGUACGGAACGAAAAGCUGCGGGUUAAUACCCUGCAGUCAUGACGGUACCGUAAGAAUAAGCACCGGCUAACUACGUGCCAGCAGCUGC
Molecule: ribosomal RNA, 499 nt
Filed under: uncultured bacterium
Lineage: Bacteria
Description: bacterial SSU rRNA
Rfam family: Bacterial small subunit ribosomal RNA
Source: RNAcentral